This 70-nucleotide transfer RNA is filed under the name Stenacron interpunctatum. RNAcentral's name for it is "tRNA-Ser". It matches the Rfam family "tRNA". From Rfam's summary of the family: Transfer RNA (tRNA) molecules are approximately 80 nucleotides in length. Their secondary structure includes four short double-helical elements and three loops (D, anti-codon, and T loops). The record is from RNAcentral. Lineage: Eukaryota; Metazoa; Arthropoda; Insecta; Ephemeroptera; Heptageniidae.
AGCCAAUUAGUUAUAGGAAUAACGUGUGUUUUGAAAGCACAAUGAAGAGGUUGGAUUCCUCUAUUGGCUU